Molecule: long non-coding RNA, 11689 nt
Filed under: Amborella trichopoda
Lineage: Eukaryota; Viridiplantae; Streptophyta; Magnoliopsida; Amborellales; Amborellaceae
Description: long non-coding RNA (ATRI_LNC005423)
Source: RNAcentral
AGUUUGCUUGUAAUUCAACAAGCAUGAAUGCAACUUAUCAUCGAAGCGGAUCUCUUUAUGUACACUGAUUUAUAUACUACACACACACACUCGCACUCGCACUCGCACUCGCACUCGCACUCGCACUCGCACUCGCACUCGUACUCGCACUCGCACUCGCACUCGCACUCGCACUCGCACUCGCACUCACACUCACAGAUAUAUAUACUACACAUAUAUGCGUGUUGUGUAUAGAUUGAUGUGUGCAUAUAUACGAUAUGUAUAUACUGUUAUGUUUAAGCAUGUAUGUAUACUGUUGCGUGCAGUUUUUGUAUAAACUGAUAUAUGUAGACUGAUAUGUACAUGUGUAAAGGGUUUAUAUAUACACUAAUGUACAUGUGUAAAGGGUUUAUAUAUACACUAAUGUAUAAGACCAGGUAUUAUUCUCAGUGAUAUACACAACUAUUAGAACAAUUUGUGUGCGUAUUGAUGUAUAGCAAUAUAUAUCAUUGUUUUCAGUGUAUAUACAACUAUUAGUGUGUAAAAAAUACAUUGAUAUGUGUGUGUGUGCGUGAUGUUUGUAUAUAUUCGAUGUGUGUAUAUUGAUAUGUGUGUGUGUAAAGUGCAUAACUGUAUCUAUACAAUGCGCUAAUAUAUAUAUUGAUGUAUCAGUUUAUACAGUUAUUAACGUAUAUCUACAUUAAUUUAUAUACUACACACACUCACUCACACUUACACUCACACUCACCACUCACACUCAUACACACAUAGACAAAUACACACUCACACUCACACUCACACUCACACUCACACUCACAGAUAUAUAUACUAUACGUGUUUAUGUGUUGUGUAUGGACUGAUAUGUGAAUAUAUACGAUGUGUUUAUACUGAUAUGUUUAUGCGAGUAUAUAUACAUUUGCUUGCUAUCAAUUAUGUACAAUUAGCAAUGGAUAUAUACACAUAUAUGCACACACACAUGCACCGUUAUGCAUUAAUAAGUGCAUAUAUAUUGUGUAUGUGUAUGCUAAUACAUGCAUUCUAUAUACAUUAAUAUAUAUGAUCAUUGAGACACUUAUUAAUAGCUUUUAUAUAUAUAUAUAUAUACAGUGUGUCUAUAAAAGAUAUGUAUAUACUGAUAUGUUUAUGUAUGUAUACACUUGCUAUCUAUAAACACUGAUAUGCGCACACACAUGCACACUUACGUAUUGAUAAUGCAUACAUACAUUUUUAUAUAUACUGAUAUAUAUAAUUAUAUAAACACUUAUUAUCAGUUCAUACAGUUAUUAGCGAAUGUUAUCAGUUUAUACAGUUUAUGCCUUUAUUGACGUAUACGUACACUGAUUUUUAUACUACUCACACACGCACUCACAUUCACCCUCACACUCACACUCACACUCACACUCACUCACAAUCACACUGAUUCUCACAAAUAUAUAUACUAUCACCUCUAAUCUGAUAUGCCUCGCGAAAUUUUAUAUUACUUUGUAUAGAAUUAGGCAUAAGAAUGGGUUUCUUCUCUUGAUGAAUCGGGUAUGUUAAAUACCCAAUUGUGAUAGUCCAUGUAAAUUUUUUUUCAUUGAGUUUUCUCGUAAAUCAACAACCAUGAAAGCAAGUUAUCAUAGAGGUGGAUCUCUUUACGUUAUUCUAUAUACGAGAUCUUGAUCCUGCAAUCUUGAUUUGCUUAAUGGUUCUUUUUUCUCUAGUAUACUACCGCUCUUUCUUCUUUCAUGCAAAUAUGGAGUAAAAUUUCAGAAGCUUUUCUUGUGGUUUGCAAUUUUAUUAACUUUUUCUUAACACACACAAACUCUUGCUUCUUUGAUGCAAAUAUGAAGUGAAUUUUCUGGAGCUUUACUUGUGGUUUGCAAUUUUAUUAAGUUACUUGUUCUUAACACACACAUACUCUUGCUUCUUUCAUGCAACUAUGGAGUGAAUUUUCUGGAGCAUUACUUUUGGUUUCCAAUUUUAUUAAGUAACUUUUUCUUAACACAGGCACACACACACACCACACACACUCACAAACACACUCACAUACGCACACACUCACACACUCACAUAAGCACACACUCACACACUCUCGCACACACACACACUCACACUCUCACUCAUACACUCGCACACACACUCACACUUGCACUCACACUCACGCUCACACUCACACUCACACUCACACUCACACCCACACCCACAUACACACACACCACACUCACACACACAUACACUCACACUCACACUCACACUCACAUUCACACUCGCACUCACACACCACACUCACACACACUCAUACACACACUCACACUCACACUCACACUCACACUCAUACUCAUACACACACACACUCACUGUCACUCUCACUCUCACUUUCACUCACUCACACUCACAUUCACGCACGCACUCACAUUCACACCCGUUCACACACAAGCUCAUACACUCACACUCACACUCACACUCAUACUCACACUCACUCACACUCACAAUGACACACACACUCACACUCACACACACACACACACACUCAUACUCACACACACAUACACACACUCACACUCACAGACUCACACUCCCACAUUCACACGCUCACACUCACACACACACACACUCAUACUCACACACACACACACUCAUACUCACACUCACACUCACACUCACACUCACAUAGACUCACACUCCCACAUUCACACACUCACACUCACACACUCACACUCACACACACUCACGCACCCUCACACUCAUGCAUACACUCACACUCGUAACUCACACUCACAGUCACAGUCACAGUCACUGUCAUAGUUACACUCACACUCAGAUAUAUACUACACAUAUAUGCGUGUUUUGUAUGGACUGUUGUGUGUAUAUAUACGAGAUACAUAUACUGAUAUGUUUAUGCGUGUAUGUAUACAGUUGCUUGCUAUCAGUUGUAUACAAUUAUCAAUAUAUAUAUAUAUAUAUAUAUACUGAUAUGUGCACAUACAUGCACCCAUACGCGUUGAUAAGUGCGUAUAUAUUGUGUAUGCAUACACUUAUACAUGAAUUCUAUAUACACUGAAAUAUAUGACCAUAUAAACAUAUAUUAACAGUUUAUAUAUAAAUAUAUAUAUACAGUGUGUCUAUAUAUGAUAUGUAUAAACUGAUAUGUUUAUACGUGUAUGUAUAAACUAGCUAUCAGUUAAGUAAAGUACUUAUCUUGCUUCUUUCAUGCAAAAAUGGAGUGAAUUUUUUGAAACUUUACUUGUGGUUUGCAAUUUUAUUAAGAAACUUUUUCUUAAUACACACACACUCUUAACACACACACUCUUUAUUAAGUAACUUUUUUUAACACACACACACUCUUUCUUCUUUCAUGCAAAUAUGGAGUGAAUUUUCUAGAGUAUUACUUGUGGUUUGCAAUUAUAUUAAGUAACUUUUUCUUAACACUCACCACAUACACACACACACUCACACUCACAUCCACAUUCACACUCACUCUCACUCUCACACUCACACUCACACUCACACUCACACUCACACUCACACUCACACUCACACUCACACUCACUCACACACACUCACUCUCACACUCAGACACACACACAUAUACACUCACACUCACACACACUCACAUUCACACGAACACACACUCACCACACACACUAACACUAGUAUUGACACUCACACGCACAUACUCAUACACUCACACACGCUCACUCUCGCACAUUCACGCUCAUGCUCACAUUCACACUCAGAUAUAUAGUACACUUUACGCAUGUUGUGUAUGGACUGAUGUGUGUAUAUAUACUAUGAUGUGUUUAUGCAUGUAUGUAUACAGUUGUUUGCUAUCAGUUAUAUACAAUUAUCAAUGUAUGUAUAUAAUGACACAUGCACGCACAUGCACCCUUACCCAUUGAUAAGUGCAAUGUACUGUAUAUGUUUACACUAAUACAUGCAUACUAUAUACAGAUAUAUAUGACCAUAUAGACAUUUAUUAGCACUUUACAUAUAUAUAUACAUAGUGUGCAUAUAUACGAUAUGUAUAUGGUGAUAUGUUUUUACGUGUAGGUAUAAACUUCCUAUCAGUUAUAUAAACACUGAUAUGCGCCCGCACAUGCACCCUUACGCAUUGAUAGGGCAUACGUACAUUUUUAUAUUCACUGAUAUGUAUGACCCUAUGGACACUUCUUAUCGGUUUAUACAGUUGUUGGUGUUUAUGUACACUGAUAUGUAUAUACUCACUCAUGUGCAUAUCUGUAUUGGGUUUAUAUAUACACUAAUAUAUAAGACCAUAUGUGUACUUAUUAUCAGUGAUAUAUAUAAUUAUUAGCUCAAUUUGUAUACGUAUUGAUGUAUAUCAAUAGAUACCAUUCUUUUCAGAGUAGAUAUAUAUAUACUGAUGCAUAUAACCAUAUAAUACAUUAGUUAUAAGCUAUAUAUACAAUUAUUAGUAUGUAAAAAUACAUUGAUAUGUGUGUGUGUGAUGUCUAUAUGUAUAUGAUGUGUAUAUACAGAUUUGUGUAUGUGUAAAGUGCAUAACUAUAUAUUUACAUUACAUUAAUAUAUACGUUGAUGUAUAUGACUAUAUAUACACUUAUUAUUACUAUAUAUCUUUAUUAACGUAUAUGUACACUGAUUUAUAUACUACACACACUCACAGUCACACUGACUCUCACCCUCACCUUCACACUCACACUCACACUCACACUCACACUCCCUCACUCAUACACACAUACACUCACACUCGCACUCGCACUCUCACUCUCACUCUCACUCUCACUCUCACUCGCACUCACACUGACACUGACACUGACACUUAUAAACACUCGCACUCACACUCACAAAUAUAUAUACUAUCGCUUGUAAUCAGAUAUACAAUUGCGAAAUUCCUUAUUACUUUGUAUAGAAUUAGGCAUAAGAAUGGGUUUCUUCUCUUGAUGAAUUGGGAAUGUUGAUUACCCUAUUGUGAUAGUCCAUGUAAAUUUUUUAUCUUAUUUGUACUUGUUUAUUAUUAUUAUUGAUGAGCUUCAUCUUCAUUGAGUUUUCUUGUAAAUCAAGAAGCACGAAAGCAACUUAUCAUAGAUGCGGAUCUCUUUACGUUAUUCGAUAUUUGAGAUCUUGAUAUUUCAUGUUUGAUUUGCUUGAUGGUUCUUUCUUCUCUAUUAUAGUAUUGCUCUUGCUUCUUUCAUGAAAAUAUAGUGUGAAUUUUCUAGAGCUUUACUUGUGGCUUGCAAUUUUAUUAAGUAACUUUUUCUUAACACGCACACACACACACACACUCACACUCACACUCAGUCUCACACUCACACUCACACUAAUUUAUAGGAAUGGGUUUAUAUAUACGCUAAUGUAUAAGGCCAUGUAUAUACUUAUUAUCAGUGAUAUAUAUAGUUAUCAGCUCUAUAUGUUUAUGUGUUGAUGUAUAUAAGCAUGGAAUACAUUAGUUAUCGGCUACAUGUACAAUUACUAGUGUGUGAAAAAUACAUUGAUGUGUGUGUGACGUCUGUAUAUAUAUACAAUGUGUAUAUAUGGAUUUCUGUGUAUGUGUAAAAGUUCAUAACUGUAUAUAUACAGUGUAUUAAUAUUUACUGUUAUGAAAAUACUGUUAAUGGCACAAAUUAAAGCUCAUAGCAUAAUUUUUUACUGAUAAAUAAGAAGUAGAGAGUGUGACUACAUGACCAAGUAAUCAAUAUUUUAUUGUUGAUUGUGUAAACUAUAAACUUACAGGAGCAAGCAAUUGUACCUAUAGGAUUAGUUCCCCAAACUUAAUCCUUCUGCUCUGUUUCCUCAAGAAAAUGAAAAGCCCUCUUCAAACUAUCCCAAAUCAGGGAGAAAAACCCUUUUCAAACUAUCCCAAAUCAGCUUUCCAUUAUCCUAAAUCAGCAUCCCAUCUUCCUUUUCUCGCUCUAAAAAUCAGUUAAGGCCUCUUCCAUUAGGGUUCUUUCUUUUCUCUCUCUAAAAAUCACUUAUGGCGGCCCCUUCCAUUAGGGUUUGUGAAAACUAUUUUCUUCUUCCCUCUUCUUGCUAUAAACCCUAGUGGCUAUGAGCCGAGCCAUAUUUUCUUCUCUUCCUUUCCUUCGUCGUUCUUCCUUCUUCUCUUUACACAGUAAACAUAGAUGUAAAUCCCAAAUUUAUAUGAACUUUUUUCAUCUAAAGAAAUUUAUAAAACUUUAACCACAGUUAUGGAGUGACCAUAGACACCAUACCAUAAUUAAAUAACUGUCGUGACAAAACAAAAAUCAUGUAUUUAUUUUUUGGUACUUGCUAAGUAGGAGUUAUGUUUAAGUAUUUACUAAAUAAAUUUAUAGUAUAUUUAUUUGUUUUUGCAUGUAAUAAGUAGGUGUGAUGUUUCUUAAAGUAUUUAAUGGGUAGAUUUAUAUGGUACUUUUUUUGGUAUAUGCUAAUUAAUUAUGUAUUUAAUAUUGGAUGAGAGUCACAAGACAUCUAAAUCAAUUGACUUAAUUAUAUUAGUCUAGUAAAGUUUUUAUAGAUGAAUUGGUAAUUGAUGGCUUUGACAAAAUUUUUAUUUUUUAGAAUUUCAAAAUUUCUAAUAUGAUAAAUGUAUCCGAUUUUUUUACUCUGAUUUUUUUAGCCUAAUGCGAUAUAUUAACGAUAUCUUUAUAUGAAGUAUUUUUACCAAUCCGUAUUUUUUAUCCAAUUUUUUCAUCCGAUUUUCAAAAUAAAAACGAUUUAUUUCCGAUAUGUAUAUACUGAUAUGUUUAUGCUUGUAUGUAUAAACUUGCUAUCAGUCAUGUACACACUGAUAUGCGCACACACAUGCACCCUUACGUAUUGACAGUGCAUAUAUACAUUUCUAUAUACACUGAUAUAAAUGACCUUAUAGACGCUUAUUAUCAGCUUAUACAGUUAUUAGUGUAUAUGUACACUGAAAUGUAUAUACGCACACUCAUAUGCAUAUUUAUAAAAGGUUUAUAUAUACACUAAUGUAUAAGACUCAUGUAUGUACUUAUUAUCAGUGAUAUAUACAGUAUUGAGCUCAAUUUGUCUACGUAUUGAUUUAUAACAAUAUAUACCAGUGUGUUCAAUGUAUAUAUAUUUAUACUGAUGCAUAUAACCAAACAAAACAUUAGCUAUUUGCUUUAUAUACAGUUAUUAAUUUGUAAAAAAUACAUUGAUAUGUAUGUGUGAUGUUUGUAUACAUACGAUGUGAAUAUACUGAUAUGCGUGUAUGUGUAUGUGCAAAGUGCAUAACUGUAUAUAUACAAUGUAUCAAUAUAUAGAUUUCUAUACAGAUUGACAUAUAUGACGAUAUAUACAUUACUUAUCAGUUUAUACUGUUAGUAACGUAUAUGUAUACUGAUUUAUAUGCUACACACACUCACACUCACACUCUCCCUUAAACUUACACUCACACACUCACUCACAUACACACAUGCACACACACUCACUCACAUACAUACACACUGACACUGACACUGACACUGACACUGACACUGACACUGACACUGACACUGACACUGACACUGACACUGACACUGACACUGACACUGACACUGACACUGACACACUUACACAUACUCACUCACACUCACACUCACAUUCACACUCACACUCACACUCACACUCACACUCACACUCACUCACACUCACACACUCACACUCACAGAUAUAUAUAUUACACAUAUAUGCAUGUUGUGUAUGGACUGAUGUGUGUAUAUAUACGAUAUGUAUACACUAAUAUGUUUAUGCCUGUUUUUGCGAUCUUGAUCUUGAAAACUUGAUUUGCUUAAUGGUUCUUUCUUCUUUAAUAUAGUACUUCUUCUUUCAUGCAAAUAAGAAGUGAAUUUUCUGGUGCUUUACUUGUGGUUUGCAAGUUUAUUAUGUAACUUUUUUUAGCACACACACUCUUGUUUCUUUUAUGCAAAUAUGGAGUGAAUUUUUUGGAGCUUUACUUGUUGUUUCCAAUUUCAUUAAGUAACUUUUUUCUGAACACACGCACACACACACACACACACACACACACUCACUCACACUCACACUCACACUCACACUCACACACACACUCACACGUGCACACACUCACUCACACUCACACUCACUCACACUCACACUCACACACACUCACACUCACUCACACAGUCACAGUCACGGUCACAGUCAGUAUCAGAGUCACACACACACUCGAACACUCACAUUCACACACACGCACACACACUCACACACACACUCUCACUCACAACUCACACUCACACUCACAUUCACACGCCCUCACAAACUCACGCACUCACUCACACACACUCACGCUCACGCUCACACUCACACUCACACUCACACUCACACUCACACUCACACUCACACUCACACACACACUCACACUCACACUCGCACUCACACACACACUUUCACACUGACACACACAGACUCACACACUAACACACACUCACACAGACUCACCCUCACACACACACUCACACUCACAACUUACACUCACACUCACAGAUAUAUGCUACACAUAUGUGUGUUGUGUAUGGACUGAUGUGUGUAUAUAUACGAUAUUUAUAUACUUAUAUAUUUAUGCGUUUAUGUAUACAAUUGCUUGCUAUCAAUUAUAUAUAGUUAUCAAUGUAUAUAUACAUUGAUAUACACACGCACAUGCACCCUUACACGUUGAUAGGUUCAUAUAUACUCUGUAUGUAUACACUAAUACAUACAUUCUAUAAACAUAGAUAUAUAUGAUCUUAUAGACACUUAUUUGCAAUUUAUAUUUAUAUAUGGUGUUCAUAUAUACUAUAUGCAUAUGUUGAUAUGUUUAUGCAUGUAUGUUUAAACUUGCUAUCGGUUAUAUAUACACUGAUAUGCGCACGCACAUGCACCUUUGCGUAUUGAUUGUGUAUAUACAUUUCUAUACGCACACACACUCACACACUCACAUAGGCACACACACUCACACACUCUCGCACACACACACACUCACACUCCCACUCACACACUCGUACACACACACACUUACACUCACACUCACUCACACUCACAGCCACACCCACAUACACACUCACACCCACACACACACACACACACUCACACUCACACACACUCACACUCACAUUCACACUCGCACUCACACACACCACACUCACACACACUCAUACACACACUCACACUCACACUCACACUCACACUCAUACUCAUGCACACACACACUCACUGUCACUCUCACUCUCACUUUCACUCACUCACACUCACACUCACGCACACACUCACAAUCACACUCGUUCACACAAGCUCACACACUCACACUCAUAUUCACACUCAAAUUCACAUUCACUGACACUCACACUCACACUCACACUCACACUCACACUCACACUCACACUCACACUCACACUCAUAUUCACACUCACAUUCACAUUCACUGACACUCACACUCACACUCACACUCACACUCACACUCACACUCACACUCACACUCACACUCACACUCACACUCACACUCACACUCACACUCACACUCACACUCACACUCACAAUCACAUUCACACUCACACACACACACACACACAUACUCUCACACACACACACACUCAUACUCACACUCACACUCACACUCACUCACACACACUCACACUCACACUCACACUCACACUCACUCACAUAGACUCACACACACAUUCACACACUCACACUCACACUCACACACACACACUCACGCACACACUCACACUCAUAACUCACACUCACAGUCACAGUUACACUCACACUCACAGAUAUAUACUACACAUAUAUGCGUGUUGUGUAUGGACUGUUGUGUGUAUAUAUACGAGAUACAUAUAUUGAUAUGUUUAUGCGUGUAUGUAUACAGUUGCUUGUUAUCAGUUGUAUACAAUUAUCAAUAUAUAUAUAUAUAUAUAUAUACUAAUAUGUGCACACACAUGCACCCAUACGCGUUGAUAAGUGCGUAUAUAUUGUGUUUGCAUACACUUAUACAUGCCUUCUUUAUACACUGAAAUAUAUGAUCAUAUAAACAUAUAUUAACAGUUUAUAUAUAAAUAUAUAUAAACAGUGUGUCUAUAUAUAUAUACUGAUAUGUUUAUACGUGUAUGUUUAAACUAGCUAUCAGUUAUAUAUACUAGCUAUCAGUUAUAUGUUUAAACCAGCUAUCAGUUAUAUGUUUAAACUAGCUAUCAGUUAUCAGUUUAUACGUGUAUGUUUAAACUAGCUAUUCAGAUAUAUAUGAAUAUAUAUACACUUUUUAUCAGUUUCUACUGUUAUUAGCGUACCCGUACAUUACUGUGUAUAUGAAUGCACAGGUGGCUAUUGCAGCCAAUAAGGUAAAUGGACAUAUCCCCCCACCCCUCCUUUUUGAUUAUUUUCUUCUCAAUUCUUUCCAUUCAAAUCAUUUUCUUCCAUUUGAAUGAUUUUUCCUUAUACAAUUUUCCAAACUGUGAUAAAUUCAGACCUUAAAGAAUUAUUUCUUCUAGCUAUCACCUCUAAUCAGAUAAGCCUAGGCGAAAUUCUAUAUUAAUUUGUAUAGAAUUAGGCAUAAAAAUGGGUUUCUUCUCUUGGUGAAUUGUGUAUGCUAAAUACCCAAUUGUGAUAGUCCAUCUAAAUUUUGUCUUAUUUGUACUUGUUUUUAUUAUUAUUGAUGAGCUUCAUCUUCAUCGAGUUUUCUUGUAAAGCAACAAGCAUUAAAGCAACUUAUCAUCGAGAUGGAUCUCUUUACAUUAUUCGAUAUUUGUGAUCUUGAUCUUGCAAGCUUGAUUUGAUUAAUGGUUCUUUCUUCUCUAGUAUAGUACUUAUCUUGCUUCUUUCAUGCAAAAAAUGGAGUGAAUUUUCUGAAACUUUACUUGUGGUUUGCAAUUUUAUUAAGUAAAUUUUUCUUAAUACACACACUCUCUUAACACACACACACGCUUCAUUAAGUAACUUUUUCUUAACACACACACACUCUUUCUUCUUUCAUGCAAAUAUGGAGUGAAUUUUCUAGAGUAUUAUUUGUGGUUUGCAAUUGUAUUAAGUAACUCUUUCUUAACACACACUCACACUCACAUUCACAUUCACACUCACACUCAGUCUCACUCUCACACUCACACUCACACUCACACUCACUCUCACACUCAGAUACACACAUACACACUCACACUCACAUACACUCACACUCACACGAACACACACACACACUCACACUCACACACACUCACACACACAUACUCAUACACUCACACACGCUCACUCUCACACAUUCACGCUCAUGCUCACAUUCACACUCAGAUAUAUAGUACACUUAUACACAUGUUGUGUAUGGACUGAUGUGUGUAUAUAUACUAUGAUAUGUUUAUGCACGUAUAUAUACAGUUGUUUGCUAUCAGUUAUAUACAACUAUCAAUGUAUGUAUAUAAUGAUACCUGCACGCACACGUACCCUUACGCAUUGAUAAGUGCGUAUGUAUGGUAUAUGUUUGCACUAAUACAUGCAUAAUAUAUACUGAUAUAUAUGACCAUAUAGACAUUUAUUAGCACUUUACAUAUAUAUAUAUAUACAUAUAUAUAUAUAUAUAUAUAGUUACGAUAUGUAUAUACUGAUAUGUUUUUGCGUGUAUGUAUAAACUUCCUAUCAGUUAUAUAAACACUGAUAUGCGCCUACACAUGCACCCUUACGCAUUGAUAGGGCAUACGUACAUUCUUAUAGACACUGAUAUGUAUGACCUUAUGGACACUUCUUAUCAGUUUAUACAGUUAUUGGUGUUUAUGUACAUUGAUAUGUAUAUACUCACUCAUGUGCAUAUCUG